UCGAGUGGCGAACGGGUGAGUAACACGUGGGUGAUCUGCCCUGCACUUCGGGAUAAGCCUGGGAAACUGGGUCUAAUACCGGAUAGGAGCCAUUUUUAGUGUGAUGGUUGGAAAGUUUUUUCGGUGUAGGAUGAGCUCGCGGCCUAUCAGCUUGUUGGUGGGGUAAUGGCCUACCAAGGCGGCGACGGGUAGCCGGCCUGAGAGGGUGGACGGCCACAUUGGGACUGAGAUACGGCCCAGACUCCUACGGGAGGCAGCAGUGGGGAAUAUUGCACAAUGGGCGCAAGCCUGAUGCAGCGACGCCGCGUGGGGGAUGACGGCCUUCGGGUUGUAAACUCCUUUCGCUAGGGACGAAGCUUUUGUGACGGUACCUAGAUAAGAAGCACCGGCUAACUACGUGCCAGCAGCCGCGGUAAUACGUAGGGUGCGAGCGUUGUCCGGAAUUACUGGGCGUAAAGGGCUCGUAGGUGGUUUGUCGCGUCGUCUGUGAAAUUCCGGGGCUUAACUCCGGGCGUGCAGGCGAUACGGGCAUAACUUGAGUACUGUAGGGGUAACUGGAAUUCCUGGUGUAGCGGUGAAAUGCGCAGAUAUCAGGAGGAACACCGAUGGCGAAGGCAGGUUACUGGGCAGUUACUGACGCUGAGGAGCGAAAGCAUGGGUAGCGAACAGGAUUAGAUACCCUGGUAGUCCAUGCCGUAAACGG
This 703-nucleotide ribosomal RNA is filed under the name uncultured Actinomycetes bacterium. RNAcentral describes it as "bacterial SSU rRNA". It matches the Rfam family "Bacterial small subunit ribosomal RNA", at positions 91 to 809 of the family's 1533-position model. Lineage: Bacteria; Bacillati; Actinomycetota; Actinomycetes. The record is from RNAcentral.